AUUAAGUUAGUUUGAGUUUAAAAUACUAGGGUGUGGACCUGGAGAGGAAACGAAGUUUCACUUAAUA
This 67-nucleotide transfer RNA is filed under the name Entemnotrochus adansonianus. RNAcentral's name for it is "tRNA-His". The record is from RNAcentral. Lineage: Eukaryota; Metazoa; Mollusca; Gastropoda; Pleurotomariida; Pleurotomariidae.